This 97-nucleotide small RNA is filed under the name Streptacidiphilus jiangxiensis. RNAcentral's name for it is "che1 RNA". It matches the Rfam family "che1 RNA". The record is from Rfam by way of RNAcentral. Lineage: Bacteria; Bacillati; Actinomycetota; Actinomycetes; Kitasatosporales; Streptomycetaceae.
AGGACAGGGGGGUCUCCGUCCACCGGAUGGAGCCUGUACUCGCAACGGGCGUGCCCCUCGGCACGCACGAGUGGUUGUCGCUCGGGGGUGCUCUCAC